This 2023-nucleotide long non-coding RNA is filed under the name Ananas comosus (pineapple). Its description in RNAcentral is "long non-coding RNA (ACOM_LNC042362)". The record is from RNAcentral. Lineage: Eukaryota; Viridiplantae; Streptophyta; Magnoliopsida; Poales; Bromeliaceae.
AACUUAACGAAAAAAAUUUUAAUCCUUCAGUUUCGACUCCGUUUGGUCACCGAAAGCUGUACCGAACUGUAAAUUUUAUCAGAUAACUGUCGGAUUUUAUUUUCCACCUUCCGGGUGUCAGAAUGGGCUGAAACUUUAAAUAUAGCCUCAUAAAAAGAAUUUUAACUUAUCCUCCAGUUUUCAUAAUUUUCUGACACUGUGUAUUUUCUGCUAAUUUAUCUGCCUCGUUUCUCACAGAAAAUUCUAAAUCUUCUAUUUUUACUUCAAUUUCAGCACAGGUCAUUCCCAACCUAUAUUUCACUUCUCUAAAUCCAAUAAAAAUAGUAUCUCAUACUAUUUUUAUUUAUUUUUACUUUUACAUUUAAAAUCUGAUAUGUUACAUUCCACCGCAACCUUACCGGAACCAUUUAAAUGUACACCGUAACUUCAUAGUUUUAGAAGUCCGGUACCUUACAUCCUCCCCUCCUUAAAAAGAGUUUCGUCCUCAAAACUCAAAUCUCAUCUCAAUUCGAGUUUUCGAGCAUCUGAAGGUAACAAUGCACUUUUGCACUCCGGAGUGGCCUUUUUCUUAUCGGAACUAUCCAAAGGCCCACUACAGAGGAUAUGAGACCAAAUUCACUCACAUUUGCUAAGCACAACACCAAAAGUGCAUUACGGUUCCACAAGUCUUGGUGGCAGCGUAAGUCGACACUUGACAACUCUAUACGCUCCAACACUACUUGCUACCGAAUCUAGGGAAUAUACUUCGAUUCGAUCACUGGCAUUGCCUAGAAGCAAUAUCAUUGGUGCAUCGACCCAUCGCAGGUGCCACUAUCACAAUCGAAUUUGCUUUACUACGAGAUGGCACCCUUCGGCACAUCUCCAAUGUUAAUCCUCCAGAGAGCAUAUUCUCAGAUCUCGUGUGGCAAUCCAAUAUCCAAGUGUCUCNUAUCGCCGAACCGACUUCGCCAACGCGUCAGAAAACCUAGCAAUUAGGUUUAUACAUGAUCAAUUUAGAUCAAACCCUCACAUAUUGCAAAAUCCUAUUUUUGAGCCCUAACAUGCAAUUACCCCCAAAUAAUCCAAAUUAAAUGGAGCAACAUGCUAAGAAUGCUCAUUAGAGGCUACUAGAACACUUAGGGUUAAGGAUUAAGCCAAAUUCCAAAAGUUUACCAAAAUGUGAACGCCAAGACGGAAGCACGCCGUUCCAACGGGCGCACGAAAGCUCGAUCCGUCGCUCCCAACGCGUUCGCAAGCUCGUUCUUUGCCAGCGCCACGAAUUUGGCUGAAAGAUCUAGAGAGAUGAGAGAGUUAUUUAGAGAGAGAAAGUGAGGAUUUCUCUCACUACCACCUUGAACGUGUGGUGUAUUGGAGGUGGUGGUGGCUGUGAAGAAGAAGAAGACUAGAAGCUUCUACUUAUAGUCAACACCCCAAUAGUAGCAUACACUAUUCACUUCAGGCAGCUCGAAAUCUGAUAUCUUUCGCCGGAGCCCUCUGAAUAUCUGUUUGAGCUCAAAUUUGACAGUCAUGUUCGGUUUUGCUUAACUUAACGAAAGAAAUUUUAAUCCUUCAGUUUCGACCCCGUUUGGUCACCGAAAGCUGUACCGAACUUAAUAUUUAUCAGAUAACUGUCGGAUUUUAUUUUCCACCUUCUGGGUGUCAGAAUGGGCUGAAACUUUAAAUAUAGCCUCAUAAAAAUAAUUCUAACUUAUCCUCCAAUUUUUAUGAUUUUCUGACACUGUGCAUUUUCUAAUAAUUUAUCUGCCUCGUUUCACACAGAAAAUUCUAAAUAUUCUGUUUUCGCUCCGAUUUUAGCACAGGUCAUUCCCAACCUAUAUUUCACUUCUCUAAAUCCAAAUAAAAAUAGUAUCUCAUACUAUUUUUAUUUAUUUUCACUUUUAUAUUUAAAAUCCGGUAUGUUACAUUCCACCGCAACCUCACCGGAACUAUUUAAAUGUACACCGUAACUUCAUAGUUUUAGAAAUCCGGUACCUUACAUCCUCCCCUCCUUAAAAAGAGUUUCGUCCUCGAAACUCAAAUCUCA